GCAUGAUGCAUUGCUCUGUCUGUUAUCCUAAAACUGUGUUUUUUUAUUUAAUCCAUUUCGAGCAAUUAAGAUGUAUAUGUGUGUAUGUGUGUAUGUAUAUUGAGCCAAAAUAUUAUGUGUGGAUGAGUUUAUGUCGGUAUGUUUGUAUGUAAAAUUAGCCUAUAUAAAAGUGGAAGACUUGUCUAAAUAUCUGAAAAUAAGCUGUAAAAAGGGAUUAAUGAUCACUGGUCUGAUUGUAUGUUAUUCUGUGUAAUCAUCAUUCAGUUUGAAGUUGAUCUUUUAAUGUACAAAGUAGCUGAUAUUGCCAUCACUUCUAGUCGACCUCCGAGUCGCUUUCAUUCCAAAAUGGCGGAUUCGUGGGGCUGCUGCUGUUGCAAUGGAACGUUCUAUUGAGUUUCCCCUCUUGUGCUUCUAUACUCUUUGCUUAGAGUGAGCGAACUGUCUGUGGUAAGAUGGCCGCCAGGUGAGGACUUUAGAGACUCCGCCGUAAGACUUCUAGCCUUUAUAUACAUAUCUAUGCUCGUACCCCAAACCUAACCCUAAACAUCUCGCGAGAUUUGGUUGUAGUUUUAUCCCCUCUAGCCAAAACCCUGUAGCAGUUAUCAGCCGCUAGGUGACGCAUGCGUGUUCACUGCCGCGCGUAGUGUGCGCCAGAACGCCACUCAGUUUGUUUUAGUAUUUAAUGUUUAAUCACAUCAGGGAACUUAUUUCAAACAUUUUAUGAGGCACAUAACUACGCGUGUACUGCAGGAAGAAAUCAGGAUGACAUCUGUUGGUCUUAAGUCUCAUUAGAUUUCAAACAGUACAUUCAUUAUAUGAGUAGAUGAGCAGAGACCUCAGAGGAAACACUCGCUCAUAAAGGGGAGCAGCAACUCUUCAAACUAAUUACUUCAGUUGCUGUUCUUACCUUCAGGAUUGAUGCAAGAAAGACAAUAAACACAUCACAGCACAUUAUUUCCCCUGAUGUCCAUAACAAAUCCACAGCCCAUAAUGGCAUUUUUGUCCUGACAUCUCAUCUUGUGUUAAUGGGAAAAAGAAAUAAUACAGCUUUGGACAUGAGGGCGACUCUUAUUUGUUGUAGAAGUUCUUGAACUCCUUCUUUAAAUGUAGAAUGAAAAACUCAAUGUGUUCUCGUCCCUCCACCCACCAUCCUUCCUAUUAAAGUUAAAGAGCGUUGAAUGUUUUCCAGUGCUAUUUGGCUAUUGAAACAGUAUUUUAAAGCACAUUGUGAAUCAGUUAGAUGUCUUUAGAAACAGAAAAGCAACAAACAGCCAGAGUAAUUGUAUUUUAAUAUGCUCUGUAUUUUAUUAUCUUUUAUUAGUUGGAGAUCUUUGUGAACUUCCUUUGGUUCUGUAGAGAAGAUGUUGACCAUCUGUAGAUCUUCAGUUCAUCUGGCACUGCUGACAUAAAGUUUAGAAAUAAUCAGCAUAAAUAUGAAAGGCAACUAAUGCUCUGUCAUUUUAGAUUUAAUAUAAGCAGAAAAGAUCAAUCUGCUGAUCAUAUAAGUUAUACAAGAUGCAGUUGAAUGAUGGAAAGAUGGAUCGUAUCUUAUGUGUUAUAAAUCUAGAUUUGGAAAUGUGUUCCUGCAGAUUGUGAGUCUGUAAGAAGUCAUUACAAACCCACCUGAGACCUAUUAAGACAAAUGUGAACAAGAACAACCUCUUAUAAAACAGGUUUAGUUAAAAAGCACAUUAACUUACCUGCCAGGAACAUUAAUGCAAAUCAAAACAAAGGGCUUCUGUUUUAGUUUGGUAAAGCUGCUAUUAAAGGCAGCAAUGCAGUUCUCGCAAAGUAAGAUAUUUUUAACUCUUUCUUUCUUCAGGAUCUCCAGUCAUGCUGAGCAAACAACUGCAGUCCUGUGUGCGGUCAGACUAUCUUUUCUAUUACAAUAUCAAUACAUAUACACUGAGACUGAGACUGAGGUUGUUAUCUCUCAUGAAAGAAAUGCAAUACCGUAACAGAUAUUCUAAUGGAGUUAAGGUUAUAAUGGUCUCUACUGGUAAUGUGUUGGGUUUUAUUUGUUGUUUUCUACUGGGAUGUAUUGGUGGAUGAGAACCAACAGAAACCAUUAAAUCUUUAUGGAUUAGCACCCAAAACCCACUCCACAGAAGAAUGUAUAAUGGUUUAGAUGAAACAAUGGUUCAAUUUGUAAUGAAAGCAUUCAAGUUUCUCUUGUUAUUUUUUAAAUAAGGUCUGAGGUGA
Misgurnus anguillicaudatus (oriental weatherfish) is the source of this 2202-nucleotide non-coding RNA. NCBI's taxonomy places the organism in Eukaryota, Metazoa, Chordata, Actinopteri, Cypriniformes, Cobitidae. The record is from RefSeq and is a predicted model, not a curated record.